GGCCUGAUGGUCUAGUAGUAUGAUUCGCCCUUAGGGACUUGUGUCCGUCUGGGCGAGGUCCCGGGUUCAAUUCCCGGUUAGGCCC
Non-coding RNA from Tulasnella sp. 403, 85 nucleotides. The record is from the annotation of a GenBank genome assembly. NCBI's taxonomy places the organism in Eukaryota, Fungi, Basidiomycota, Agaricomycetes, Cantharellales, Tulasnellaceae.